UACGUAGGGUGCGAGCGUUAAUCGGAAUUACUGGGCGUAAAGCGUGCGCAGGCGGUUCGCUGUGUCCGAUGUGAAAGCCCCGGGCUUAACCUGGGAAUGGCAUUGGAAACUGGCGGGCUUGAGUGCGGCAGAGGGGGGUGGAAUUCCGCGUGUAGCAGUGAAAUGCGUAGAGAUGUGGAGGAACACCGAUGGCGAAGGCAGCCUCCUGGGCCAACACUGACGCUCAUGCACGAAAGCGUGGGGAGCAAACAGG
This 253-nucleotide ribosomal RNA is filed under the name uncultured bacterium. RNAcentral describes it as "partial 16S ribosomal RNA". It matches the Rfam family "Bacterial small subunit ribosomal RNA", at positions 524 to 776 of the family's 1533-position model. The record is from RNAcentral.